CGCCUCUUGCAUAAAACCAAAUAUAAGAGGUCCCGCCUGCCCUGUGACUAUAUGUUUAACGGCCGCGGUAUUUUGACCGUGCGAAGGUAGCGCAAUCACUUGUCUUUUAAAUGAAGACCUGUAUGAAUGGCACGACGAGGGCUUAACUGUCUCCUUCCCUUAGUCAAUGAAAUUGAUCUAUCCGUGCAGAAGCGGACAUAACACCAUAAGACGAGAAGACCCUAUGGAGCUUUCAGACGCACAAGAAGACCAUGUUAAUCAACCCCGCUAAGGGAGUAAACCAAAUGUGCCCUACUUGAAUGUCUUUGGUUGGGGCGACCACGGGGAAAUAUGAAACCCCCACGAGGAAAGAGAAUAAAAUCUCAAAACUAAGAACUGCAGUUCUAAGUAUCAGAAUUUCUGCCCUUAAGAUCCGGUAAGCCGAUCAACGAACCAAGUUACCCUAGGGAUAACAGCGCAAUCCCCUUUUAGAGUCCCUAUCAACAAGGGGGUUUACGACCUCGAUGUUGGAUCAGGACAUCCUAAUGGUGCAGCCGCUAUUAAGGGUUCGUUUGUUCAACGAUUAAAGUCCU
Molecule: ribosomal RNA, 572 nt
Filed under: Doryrhamphus excisus (bluestripe pipefish)
Lineage: Eukaryota; Metazoa; Chordata; Actinopteri; Syngnathiformes; Syngnathidae
Description: partial 16S ribosomal RNA
Rfam family: Bacterial large subunit ribosomal RNA
Source: RNAcentral